UUACCGUGAAAAAAUUAGAGUGUUCAAAGCAGGCAGAUCCAAUUUUCUGCCACCGAAUACAUUAGCAUGGGAUAAUGGAAUAGGACCCUGUCCUCCUAUUUUCAGUUGGUUUUGGCAGCGCGAGGACUAGGGUAAUGAUUAAUAGGGAUAGUUGGGGGCAUUAAUAUUUAAUUGUCAGAGGUGAAAUUCUUGGAUUUAUGAAAGAUUAACUUCUGCGAAAGCAUCUGCCAAGGAUGUUUUCAUUAAUCAAGAACGAAAGUUAGGGGAUCGAAGACGAUCAGAUACCGUCGUAGUCUUAACCAUAAACGAUGCCGACCAGCGAUUAGGAGACGUUGAAUACAAAACACCACCAUCGGCGCGGUCGUCCUUGGCGUCUGUCCCUUUCAACGGGGGCAGGCGCGAGGGCGGUUUAGCCCGGUGGCACCGGUGAAUGACUCCCUAG
RNAcentral lists this ribosomal RNA (442 nucleotides) under Acanthamoeba sp. AcP54. RNAcentral describes it as "SSU rRNA". It matches the Rfam family "Eukaryotic small subunit ribosomal RNA", at positions 752 to 1083 of the family's 1831-position model. The record is from RNAcentral. Lineage: Eukaryota; Discosea; Longamoebia; Acanthamoebidae.